Amphimedon queenslandica is the source of this 884-nucleotide RNA transcript. It is a transcript of the gene named acylamino-acid-releasing enzyme-like, with no coding region annotated. The record is from RefSeq and is a predicted model, not a curated record. The transcript is spliced from 9 exons. NCBI's taxonomy places the organism in Eukaryota, Metazoa, Porifera, Demospongiae, Haplosclerida, Niphatidae.
GAAAGUCAACUCUCUUUUGUGCCAAUGUUGAUACUAAUAUGUCCACUCCGUUAACUGAUGGUACAAAAUGUAUAUUUGGCUUGAGGUUUAAUGGAGAACCUCUUUAUUUAUUAUUCAUUGAGAGUGAUGCUGACCUUCCUCACAGGUCUUUAGUUCGAGUUGACUGGAAGACAAAGAAGAUUGAGACACUUGUUGGUCUAGUUGAUAAGCCAACCAAUGAAGGAUUCACUGGUGUAUAUACAUGCAGUCUCCCUGAUCGUUGCUGGGGGGAUAAUGACAAGAUGUAUUUUCAUGAUUGUCAGAAACUAUACAAAGAGAUCAUGCGUCUAGAUGUCAACACAAAAUCAAUAUCAUGUAUCACGUCUGAUACUGAGAAAGGAGUUUAUGCUGUUUUUGAUGUAUUUGAUGGUCUGUUGCUAGGACGAUAUGCUAACCCAGCCCAACCGAUGAAAAUAUUCAUAGCUGAGCUACCUUCCAGCAAUGAUGGCUUUAAAGAUACUGAUUUUUGUGAAAUAGCAACCACUACUGUAUCCAUUUCUGACAACAUUAAAUGGGAGGUUUUAUCACUAACAAGAGAAGACUCAGGUGGUUAUCCGUAUGAGGCUCUCUUUGUAUCUCCUCGUGUUGUUGAAUCCCUUCCUCCACUGAUAGUGAGUUCUCAUGGUGGACCACACAUGUCUAGUGUUGCUGAUUUUACUGUAUGGACUGCCUGCUUUAUUGGACUUGGAUAUUCUGUUGUGUUUGGUAAUGCAUCAAAGAAAGAGAGAUGAAGAGAGGGGAAUGAAGACUAGUAAUAUUUUAUGCACUUUUGCCAAAAAAGGAUUUCAUGAAAUCAUUGUUGGGUAACGUGGGGACACUUGAUGUGAAUGAUGUGCAGGUACCUG